CUUUGAUCGUGCACAGAUGGGGCCUUAAAAGUCUAGGGGAUGGUGGUUCAAGACCAAGUGGCCAAGAAAGCUGGAGGAAGGGUCUGCGCUGCUCGCUGCACUCGGGUAUCUCAGUUGCUCCCUCUUGUUCCCGCUCUCAGUCUCCGUCUUUGGCUCGCUCGCUAGCUCGCGCGCUCUCUGUACAUAAUGCAAAGCGAUAGAGCGGCCUCAGGAGAACAGCUGGAGAAAGCUUAAAGAAAAGACAAAUUAAUAGGAGUCUAGCGCAGCAGCAAAUGCUGGAGCUCAGCUGACCCGUUAAAUGAGCAAUCCUGUUAAGUGUGUUAAUCAGCAAGGCGCCAGUGAGCCAAGCAGAACGCUCUGGGAGAUACCUGGCGUGGAAACGGGUCUCUUCAUCCGCAGCAAUUCAAACUCUGUCAGUUCUUGAGUCGUAGUCCCUCUCUCCUAUCACUCUUAAAGAGAGGAGCUCCAGAGCUGCGUGACCUUGGAGACGCAUGUGGUCAGGAGCGCCUCAGGUGCGAGACAUCAACAAUCAUUGUCUGGGUUCUAUCUCCGAGCGUAUCCUGGGGUCCCAGCUCUCCCGUAUGAUUGGCGGGACUGGAGAACCCUGAGACUUAAGGAUCUCUAAUCAGGGAGGGGUGGAAAAGAGGAGUUCUUUCUGGUACCAGGAAGCUCUUACUAUGAAUAUAAUCAGGUGGCUUGAAUCUUUAAUAACAUCAAGUUCUGGCCUUUGGGGGAGCCAAGCAGGUGAACUCCUGGCUGAACUAGAUACCUGUUUAAUGGUGUAAAUGGGGACCAGGAUAGGUGAAAAACUUUGCUUCGUGGCUUUCCCUGCCUUCACUGGCCCAGUUCAGCGCUAGCCAACCGAGUACCCGGCCUACUCCGGUACGGACGCUAGACGGCGCUGCUGGGACACGCUUUCCUUCUCCCGGAAAGCGCCUUUGGGCAUCCUCUUUGUCGCCCGGAAAGCUCGAGCCCGCGCUCUCUGGAACCCAGCUCUCCAUCUCGUCCUGGACCGAGGCCCAUCGCCCCAGACAUGGAACUGCACGCUUGAGCCCUGCUGGACGUCCCCGGCUGUUUUGCAAGAAGACUCGGACAGCUGCCAAGGAAAGUGAACGAUGAAGCCACCGUUUCUUUUGGCUCUUGUCGUCUGUUCUGUAGUCAGCACAAAUUUGAAGAUGGUAUCAAAGAGAAAUUCUGGUAAGUUGCUGGCAACCUCUCACUAUUUAGUCAAAAAUGUAUGUUUUUUUGUGAGCAUCUAGUGAGCAUCUGUGUCUUUAAUUUUGAAUAUCUUUAAAGAGAAGUGCUUGUAAUCCAGCUAUGUUGGAAAGUAGCCAAAACAAAAAUGAGAUUUUAGCCUACCACUGAGAAAAUGUUGGAAAACCAGUGGAAUUUCGUUCAACUUCAAUGACAGUAUAUUCUCAGUGGACGGUAAAAUACUAAGGGCCUUCUUAAGGUUGGUUACAUUUGCUAGUGAGAGAGAAAACAUUUCUGGGAGAAAAAACAUUUGCAAAUGAGAAGACAGGAAACCCUUAACAAUGUAUAUUCUUUGCCUUCUAAUUGAGUGCACAGAAUUAUACUUUCAAUGAAAGUUUUUGACAAAUAUCAGUGAGCUUUAGUUCCUCACAUCUUAACAUUUGUACCAAAUUCCUAACAGGCAGAGGUUUAAAGCCUCCAAUUUUAGAAAUAUUAGCUGAUUGCCUGAAGAGGAAUUUCUUUAGAAGAAAUAUCUAUUUCUAGAACAUGGUGGUCUGGCAGGCAGCCAUGAUUGUACUAAGAGAUUAGCAUAGCCAGUUGAUAUCCCAAUCAAAGUUUAAUCAUUGUUUAAUAACACUUGGAUAUAUAUGUCUUUCAGCUUUGAUUAUACAUUUUAGCUAUAAUUACAAACCAUGCAUGAGAUUUUAAGAAAUUGAUUUUCUGUCUGUAACGGUGCCAGGAAGAUAUUGAGGAAUGCUUUAUUGUAUGGAAACAAAAGACUGUGAUGGGGCUUUGUGCUGGCUUCUAAUUCAGUUACUUUCUAGAAUUAAAUGUAUACUCUUUACUUUCUCAUUAAGUAUAAAACCUAGGUGCUAAAGUACAUGCCUAUUUUUCAAAGCAAUAAAUGCUGGCUGGAGUUUUGGAGUUUGGCUAAU
This 2129-nucleotide long non-coding RNA is filed under the name Sus scrofa (pig). Its description in RNAcentral is "lncRNA (ENSSSCG00070028871.1)". Lineage: Eukaryota; Metazoa; Chordata; Mammalia; Artiodactyla; Suidae. The record is from RNAcentral.